GACGAACGCUGGCGGCGUGCUUAACACAUGCAGUCGAACGGAAAGGCCCUGCUUUUGUGGGGUGCUCGAGUGGCGAACGGGUGAGUAACACGUGAGUAACCUGCCCUUGACUUUGGGAUAACUUCAAGAAACUGGGGCUAAUACCGGAUAGGAGCUCCUGCUGCAUGGUGGGGGUUGGAAAGUUUCGGCGGUUGGGGAUGGACUCGCGGCUUAUCAGCUUGUUGGUGGGGUAGUGGCUUACCAAGGCUUUGACGGGUAGCCGGCCUGAGAGGGUGACCGGCCACAUUGGGACUGAGAUACGGCCCAGACUCCUACGGGAGGCAGCAGUGGGGAAUAUUGCACAAUGGGCGGAAGCCUGAUGCAGCAACGCCGCGUGCGGGAUGACGGCCUUCGGGUUGUAAACCGCUUUCGCCUGUGACGAAGCGUGAGUGACGGUAAUGGGUAAAGAAGCACCGGCUAACUACGUG
RNAcentral lists this ribosomal RNA (467 nucleotides) under uncultured bacterium. RNAcentral's name for it is "partial 16S ribosomal RNA". It matches the Rfam family "Bacterial small subunit ribosomal RNA", at positions 28 to 507 of the family's 1533-position model. The record is from RNAcentral.